Molecule: non-coding RNA, 58 nt
Organism: Xenorhabdus doucetiae
Lineage: Bacteria; Pseudomonadati; Pseudomonadota; Gammaproteobacteria; Enterobacterales; Morganellaceae
Source: Rfam
UAGCUCAGCCGGUAGAGCAGUUGACUUUUAAUCAAUUGGUCGCAGGUUCGAGCCGAGC